Long non-coding RNA from Alnus glutinosa, 233 nucleotides. RefSeq lists it as uncharacterized. The record is from RefSeq and is a predicted model, not a curated record. NCBI's taxonomy places the organism in Eukaryota, Viridiplantae, Streptophyta, Magnoliopsida, Fagales, Betulaceae. The transcript has 4 exons.
UUGCUACUUCCCUUGUCAGAAAGGAUAAAAAUGAAGUCCAGCAUCACAUAUCUAACAUACUCUUUAUCGGGUUCACUUGUGGCUGCUUGAUGCUUUUGUUUACGAAGUUCUUUGGUUCAUGGGUACUGACUGCUUUUACUGGACCAAAGAAUGCACAUGUUGUACCUGCAGCAAACACAUAUGUUCAGAUUCGAGGCUUAGCAUCGCCAGCACUUCUCGUUGGAUGGGUUGCU